UACGAAGGGGGCUAGCGUUGCUCGGAAUCACUGGGCGUAAAGGGUGCGUAGGCGGGUCUUUAAGUCAGGGGUGAAAUCCUGGAGCUCAACUCCAGAACUGCCUUUGAUACUGAGGAUCUUGAGUUCGGGAGAGGUGAGUGGAACUGCGAGUGUAGAGGUGAAAUUCGUAGAUAUUCGCAAGAACACCAGUGGCGAAAGCGGCUCACUGGCCCGAUACUGACGCUGAGGCACGAAAGCGUGGGGAGCAAACAGG
RNAcentral lists this ribosomal RNA (253 nucleotides) under uncultured bacterium. Its description in RNAcentral is "partial 16S ribosomal RNA". It matches the Rfam family "Bacterial small subunit ribosomal RNA", at positions 524 to 776 of the family's 1533-position model. The record is from RNAcentral.